ACACGUAGGGGCCUGACGUUGUUCGGAAUCAUUGGGCGUAAAGGGCGCGCAGGCGGCCGUCCAAGUCCGGUGUUAAAUGGUCGGGCUCAACCCGAUCAUGCGCUGGAAACUGGGCGGCUUGAGUCCCGUAGGGGAUGCCGGAAUUCCAGGUGUAGGGGUGAAAUCUGAAGAUAUCUGGAAGAACACCGAUGGCGAAGGCAGGCAUCUGGCCGGAGACUGACGCUGAGGCGCGAAGGCGCGGGGAGCGAACAGGUUUAGAUACCCUGGUAGUCCGCGCAGUAAACGAUGCGCACCAGGUGUCGGGCGGCAGCGCCCGGUACCGGAGCUAACGCGAUGAGUGCGCCGCCUGGGGAGUAUGCCCGCAAGGGUGAAACUCAAAUGAAUUGGCGGGG
Molecule: ribosomal RNA, 392 nt
Filed under: uncultured bacterium
Lineage: Bacteria
Description: partial 16S ribosomal RNA
Rfam family: Bacterial small subunit ribosomal RNA
Source: RNAcentral